GGAAUCUUAGACAAUGGGCGCAAGCCUGAUCUAGCCAUGCCGCGUGAGUGAUGAAGGCCCUAGGGUCGUAAAGCUCUUUCGCUGGGGAAGAUAAUGACUGUACCCAGUAAAGAAACCCCGGCUAACUCCGUGCCAGCAGCCGCGGUAAUACGGAGGGGGUUAGCGUUGUUCGGAAUUACUGGGCGUAAAGCGCGCGUAGGCGGACUAUUAAGUUAGAGGUGAAAUCCCAGGGCUCAACCUUGGAACUGCCUUUAAUACUGGUAGUCUUGAGUUCGAGAGAGGUGAGUGGAAUUCCGAGUGUAGAGGUGAAAUUCGUAGAUAUUCGGAGGAACACCAGUGGCGAAGGCGGCUCACUGGCUCGAUACUGACGCUGAGGUGCGAAAGCGUGGGGAGCAAAC
Molecule: ribosomal RNA, 398 nt
Filed under: uncultured bacterium
Lineage: Bacteria
Description: bacterial SSU rRNA
Rfam family: Bacterial small subunit ribosomal RNA
Source: RNAcentral